UUGUUUUUUGGGAUUAUCUUUUCUCUUGCAAUUAUGUGUUCCUAUUAAAUAGAAAAAGAGAAGAAAGUAGACUACCUUCCUGUUCAAAUUCACAUACACCUCAUAGUGAGAGAGUGAAAGUAUAUUUUUAGCCUUUUUACCUCCAAAUGCGCUUCUGGCAGUGGUGAUUCUGUUAACAUAAUUGAGAAAGAGAAGGAUGUGGCCAUGUCUUCCAUAAAUAUAAUUACUAUUCGGAAUUUUUCAUCUAUCUGACGUGGCACUUCAUUUCAAACGUGGACAAAAGCUUUUUUUGGAGUUGGGUAGAGAUCUUUAGCUGUUGUCUCUCUCAUUGUGUAAUCUUUAAUAGUAAGGGAAAAUUAUUUCUUGCCUAAGUUAACAAGAUGCUGCAGUUGUUUGUUUGGGAUUGGGGAGAGAUCAAUUGGAGUGCUACUUAUAAAAAUUCUGUUUAUAAAGCAGAAAUCUUUCUAAGGGACCUAGAAGGAUUAUUGAGCUUGGCAUUUUUUCGGCUGUUGUAUUUCAAACUUCUCAUUUUCCAAUUCAGGGAAGAAGAUUGUUAAGAUCGAGAGCAGCAGACAGAAGAAUAGCAUGGGACAUGUAAAAUCUUCCAAACGCAACAGGUCUUCUGGGUUGGAACUUAAGCUUGACGAAUUGCGAAAGGAACUUUCCUCCAUUCAUGGUGGAAUAUUUCCUCACUCUGUAUUAUCUACUCAAUAAAUUGGCAUGCUAAGCACUCAAAAGCCUAUAUCUAUGGAACAGGUAGUGCCUUAACACCUUUAUCCUUCUGUCUUAAUUAUUGACUACCUUUUCGCUUUUUUAAUUGUCUUAUUUUGUUUUGUUUGGACAAAGCGUUCCUUAGCGAUGUUCUACUUUAUGAUCAAUGGGAAGUGUAACUAAUGUGGAUAUCAAAGAAAGGAUUUUCAUUUUCUUUUCUUUUGUUUGGACAAAGCAUUCCUUAACAAUGAUCUACUUUAUGAUCGAUGGGAAGUGUAUUUAGUGUUGUAUCAUAGUUGAAAGGAACGUAUUAAACAGACAUACAUAUUGC
RNAcentral lists this long non-coding RNA (1042 nucleotides) under Panax ginseng (ginseng). Its description in RNAcentral is "long non-coding RNA (PGIN_LNC001769)". The record is from RNAcentral. Lineage: Eukaryota; Viridiplantae; Streptophyta; Magnoliopsida; Apiales; Araliaceae.